RNAcentral lists this ribosomal RNA (468 nucleotides) under uncultured bacterium. RNAcentral describes it as "partial 16S ribosomal RNA". It matches the Rfam family "Bacterial small subunit ribosomal RNA", at positions 28 to 507 of the family's 1533-position model. The record is from RNAcentral.
GACGAACGCUGGCGGCGUGCUUAACACAUGCAAGUCGAACGGAAAGGCCCUGCUUUUGUGGGGUGCUCGAGUGGCGAACGGGUGAGUAACACGUGAGUAACCUGCCCUUGACUUUGGGAUAACUUCAGGAAACUGGGGCUAAUACCGGAUAGGAGCUCCUGCUGCAUGGUGGGGGUUGGAAAGUUUCGGCGGUUGGGGAUGGACUCGCGGCUUAUCAGCUUGUUGGUGGGGUAGUGGCUUACCAAGGCUUUGACGGGUAGCCGGCCUGAGAGGGUGACCGGCCACGUUGGGACUGAGAUACGGCCCAGACUCCUACGGGAGGCGGCAGUGGGGAAUAUUGCACAAUGGGCGGAAGCCUGAUGCAGCAACGCCGCGUGCGGGAUGACGGCCUUCGGGUUGUAAACCGCUUUCGCCUGUGACGAAGCGUGAGUGACGGUAAUGGGUAAAGAAGCACCGGCUAACUACGUG